AACAUUGUGUUUCUUCGCAGGCGCAAGAGCUUAAAUCCUAUACAGUGCACAAGCGUCCCCUGGUGGCUGCAUGGAGCAGUGCCAUGACACUUGGAAACUGUGGUGAAAGGCUGCGAAGUCGCUCACCAACUGCAUGGACACAGGCUCCCGGAGGAUACUGAGUCUCCCAGCUUCAGGGGAAGUUUGAAGGAAAUCAAAGCAGAAACCCAGCAAUGGAAACUUCCUGCAUGCUCCGAGGCGGCUUAGUACUGGGCUGCAAGGGUGUGAGCGUCGUGGGCUGCUUCUCGCCUUUAAAUGAGGAGAUGGAAACCCAACUUCAGGUAGAAGCUUAGUUACAUUUUCAAAGCACUUUCCACAGAACACCUCCUCCCUUCUCGAUAUGCUCGGCAUUCUCUUCCGAAGCCUCAGACGGAGGGACUUCCAGGACCAGACGUGAAGUCAGGAUUGCCUCAAGGCUCAGGACUGGGGCUGUAGCAUGGUGGAGCCUUUCUUUGCCAGUGAUGAAGACCAGAUCAGGCACAAAUGGGAAAACAUGGACUGACUUGGGAAGCUUAACAAUUUGAAGGCGGAUGCCACAUGCAGGUGCAGCUGGAUCGAGGUGGCUGAUGGCAAUGAGAGCUGAUCUUACAAAAUGGCA
Molecule: long non-coding RNA, 637 nt
Organism: Mastomys coucha (southern multimammate mouse)
Lineage: Eukaryota; Metazoa; Chordata; Mammalia; Rodentia; Muridae
Exons: 4
Source: RefSeq, a predicted model, not a curated record